Molecule: ribosomal RNA, 342 nt
Filed under: Triticum aestivum (bread wheat)
Lineage: Eukaryota; Viridiplantae; Streptophyta; Magnoliopsida; Poales; Poaceae
Description: partial small subunit ribosomal RNA
Source: RNAcentral
AUGCUAGACAUCCUCGCUACCACCACAACCUAUCCAAGCAAGCAACAGAUCGAGGAGGACGGAGGCACGGCGCGACGACGACCGUGGCAUGGAUUAAGAGCAUGCUCAUGGGCUCAUGGCCUAGGAGCGAAUCGGGCAUCCUGGAUCAUGACGGAAGCUGGAAGCCGCGGGGGCUGCCCGAAGAAGAGGGCGACGAAUCGGCGGUGGAAGAGGGUGUGUCUGUGGUUAUCGCCUUCCAAGACGACGCGACUUGAUGAUUUAGAUUCGCCUUCCGAGACGAUGCGACGUGGCAAUUCAGAUUUCUCUCCUUCCUCGCCUCAACGACAUGCUCUGCUUCUCUAG